AAGUCGUAACAAGGUUUCCGUAGGUGAACCUGCGGAAGGAUCAUUAAAGAGAAUAUGCCUCGGGUAGAUCUCCCACCCUUUGUUUAUAUUACUUUGUUGCUUUGGCAGGCCCGCCUUUGGACCACCGGCUUCGGCUGUCAGUGCUUGCCAGAGAACCCAAACUCUUAUAUUAUGUCGUCUGAGUACUAUAUAAUAGUUAAAA
RNAcentral lists this unclassified non-coding RNA (202 nucleotides) under plant metagenome. RNAcentral describes it as "partial contains small subunit ribosomal RNA and internal transcribed spacer 1". The stretch from base 1 to 46 matches the Rfam family "Eukaryotic small subunit ribosomal RNA", at positions 1786 to 1831 of the family's 1831-position model. The record is from RNAcentral.